Molecule: non-coding RNA, 73 nt
Organism: Zootermopsis nevadensis
Lineage: Eukaryota; Metazoa; Arthropoda; Insecta; Blattodea; Termopsidae
Source: Rfam
GCCACGGUGGUCUAGCGGUUAGAACGCUGGCCUUGUAAUCCUGGGGUCUCGGGUUGGAUUCCCGGCCGUGCCC